This 253-nucleotide ribosomal RNA is filed under the name uncultured bacterium. RNAcentral's name for it is "partial 16S ribosomal RNA". It matches the Rfam family "Bacterial small subunit ribosomal RNA", at positions 524 to 776 of the family's 1533-position model. The record is from RNAcentral.
UACGGAGGGGGCUAGCGUUGUUCGGAAUUACUGGGCGUAAAGCGCACGUAGGCGGCUUUGUAAGUCAGAGGUGAAAGCCUGGAGCUCAACUCCAGAACUGCCUUUGAAACUACAUCGCUAGAAUCAUGGAGAGGUAAGUGGAAUUCCGAGUGUAGAGGUGAAAUUCGUAGAUAUUCGGAAGAACACCAGUGGCGAAGGCGACUUACUGGACAUGUAUUGACGCUGAGGUGCGAAAGCGUGGGGAGCAAACAGG